CACGGGGGGCCUACGGGAGGCAGCAGUAAGGAAUAUUGGUCAAUGGGCGGAAGCCUGAACCAGCCAUGCCGCGUGCAGGAUGACUGCCCUAUGGGUUGUAAACUGCUUUUGUCCAGGAAUAAACCCAGAUACGAGUAUCUGGCGGAAUUAC
RNAcentral lists this ribosomal RNA (151 nucleotides) under uncultured Sphingobacterium sp. Its description in RNAcentral is "partial 16S ribosomal RNA". It matches the Rfam family "Bacterial small subunit ribosomal RNA", at positions 329 to 478 of the family's 1533-position model. Lineage: Bacteria; Pseudomonadati; Bacteroidota; Sphingobacteriia; Sphingobacteriales; Sphingobacteriaceae. The record is from RNAcentral.